AGAGUAUUGUACCACAAUCCCAGUUGUUUGCAAUAAAUGGCUUGUCUUGAUUUUCCAGAUUAUAGCUAGAAGAUUGCCUCAAACGAUGAAUUGUAGAAUGGAGCAGGAUGUCUGUGUGUCUGCGUCUUCACCCGGGUUUUUCAGGCCACUGUGUCUGUGAACUUAGCUCUAUGAAAGCAAGAAGCCUAUGAGAAUUCCGCCAGGGGCAAGCCUGGCCUUGGCGCUUCACUGUCUUAGCGUGUGUCUGGCCCUCCCAUUCCUGGCCAAGGCCCACAGCCACCACAGAUGACCUGCUGAUGCCUCUGCUGAAAUCCGUGGCCACUGGCCAACAGCUUGACAAGAGUGUCAGCUCCCUCCCGAGACGAAAUCAGAGGAAAACGCCUCUAGUUUCUAAGAAGCACACAGGGAGCCACUUCUUUACCGCUAGCUCCUGCAGGAUCUGUGGGAUCCUGCAGGUGCUGGUUUGCCUCCUGAGCCCUGUCCUAAGGACACUCUGCACAUCGCCUCCUGAAUGCUCUGUUGCACUAAAUGCACCAACUCUGGAGGUCCACAAUGGUAUUGCACCAUGAGAGAAGAAUAUCGGAGCAAAGCUGGGAAAUGGACACACCAGGGGGAGCGAAUGUAAUGUUACAAUCCGAGAAAAUUAGAAAGGAGAAGAAAAAGCAAAUCCCAAUCCUAAACCAUCUUGAGAACAUUUGCUAGUUUAUUCCUUUACCCCAUGGCAACAGUUACAUAAAGUGAUUAUGUCCUUGCUUUAAAAAAGUGCUAUUCCUCUUCUUUCAAAAUUAUAUUUAAACUUCAAUAUUUACCUUAAUAGUUCACUUACAGAUGGCAGAAGCAGAACGGUCACACAUCCCUGCAACACAAUUUAAAAAACAAAAGAAAAAUAAAUUUCUUGCAGAAGUAAAAACACAACAUAUUCCAUUUAUUUCCCACACACUAAAAUCUUGUCCUCUCUCAGUAGAAACAACAAGCAAUAUUUUUCUGUGUAAAAGGGAGUGGAGAGUUUUCCAGUCUUCUCUGUUUCUCCCCAGACAGAUGGGCUUUCACAUUCAAGAGACACUGGAGCUGCCAUAACCUUGAGUGGACAUGAGCUUGGCCAGAUUGCACUGUCCAAAUGCCAGGACCCAGGGCCCCGGGGAGGUCUCUGGUGCAUGCGGCAGUGCUCUUGGAGGAUCUUGAUCACUCCAGCGCAUUCCUUGCAGCAAUCUGCACUUGGAACAGCGUUUGAUAUGGAAGGAAACACUAGUAUAAUAUCAAGUUGUGUAUAAUUGCAAAACUUGCUGUCUCGGAUGUGAAAUAAAUUCGGCUAAUUUGUUGGUA
This 1323-nucleotide long non-coding RNA is filed under the name Homo sapiens (human). RNAcentral's name for it is "novel transcript". The record is from RNAcentral. Lineage: Eukaryota; Metazoa; Chordata; Mammalia; Primates; Hominidae.